Toxotes jaculatrix (banded archerfish) is the source of this 3242-nucleotide long non-coding RNA. RefSeq lists it as uncharacterized. NCBI's taxonomy places the organism in Eukaryota, Metazoa, Chordata, Actinopteri, Toxotidae. The transcript has 4 exons. The record is from RefSeq and is a predicted model, not a curated record.
AUGAUUAUUUAUAUGUGAUUUAAAUUUGUCUGCUUGGUUGUAAGGGAAAUCUAACAGAUACUGACACGUAACACAAAACAGACAUUUGCCCUUUCCUGCAACAUGCAUUCAUGACAGCAACAGACUCCUAAGUGUUUUUUGUGUGUCAUGCGAUUCCUUCAGAGUUGUGUGUGUCUGCAGCUGAGCACUCUCAUCCUCAGCCAGGCUUCUGACUAAUUAGGAGUCGAGUCUUAGAGCUGUGAUGAGGUGACAGAUUCAGUAAUUUGCAUAUCAUUUCAUGUUCAUAGGAUAAGCCCUUCUGGUUCUCUCUUCUCUAUUUUUUUUCUCUCUUUCUUCCAAACGCUCCACAUUUUACGAUAAUUAGCUUGAUACAAAAUCAAGAGGAGCCAGUUCGUGCCAGAUAUGUCUUGUGCAUGAAAUCUGUUCGGAUUGCACCAGCUUGAACAUCCAUAACACAAACAAGGAAGAAAAGUGUACCUCAAUCUCUUGCACUUGCUCCUCAUUGUUGAUGUACAUCUGCUGAAGGGAGUCCUCCAGCUCCUUGUUGCGUUCCAGGAGAGUCUUGCCCAGCUCCGCUGCCAAGUGCAGGUCUGACAGAAGCCAAGAGAGAGGGACAAAUGUAAACAGCAGAGAACUGUGAAGAGUGUGGAGGACAGGAGCUCGCUGCACAGAGCUUUUGAGAGCUGCACUCACUGCAGCCAAGGUCAACAUAACAUGUUGGAAACCUCCCUGAUCUGAAAAGCAAAACCUAUAUUAAGUCAGCUUAAGAUGAGAAAUGGAGAAAAUUCUGUCCUUGAAUCAGCCCUAUAAGCUUCUGAGGCCCUAAUUUUUCUGACCUGCUUCUCUCUCAAGAUGACUUCAUGAAAACCAAGAUGUGAGAAAAUGGCUUUGAAUUCAUCAGAAGAUUCAUAUGUAAAGUUUUUUUUACAAUUACUUCCAUUGCUUCAUAAUGAAUUGCAGCAAGCCUUGAAAUGGAGCUACGGGCCUGCAAGAACAAGUAUAACACGUUGAAAGAAGCCUUGCAUAUGCUGCUACAAUGCUUCAGGCCACUGCCUUCAGUCUGCUUGAGCACAGAUCAUAUUGACACAAACCUGCAGCCAUCUGCACACCAGGAGCUUGAGCAGUGAUAACACCGCAGAAGCCAGCCUCACAGUUGCUGAUAUUUUCCAACACAGCUUGAAACAUACAUUAUUCACCUCCUUUGGUAGGAAAAAAAAAACAAAAACUAGCCGGACUGAGGAGGAGGAGGAGGAGAAUCCCGCUGGCUCUGCAUACUUGGAGCCCAUAACAACACAGCACUGGAGGAGUGGUGGAAAGACGGGAAGGAACACAGAGCCACUGACACUGACUGGACGUGAAUGCAGCCUUUCAUCACCACAGAGUAGGGUGUGAGCCGUGACAGGAACACACACACGUGCAUCAUCUUUGGUGUAAAGCGCAAGGAACUCGAUAUAAUUUACAUGUAUCCGUGUGUUAACUAUGACACACAUUCCAGUUUGCCUCGGUGGAGCAGGACUCCCUCCGUUUUAUCUUAAAUGAUCAAGCUUAGUAGCUCACACUGCGCCCGCCUGUGUUGCUACAUUUGCCUCCAGUGCUGCCGAGGGAGGCAGGGACAGGCUGUAAUUUCCUGUUUCAACAAUGCAGAACUGAUAGCAGAACACUGGCCUGAACCACCGAGUGAUAAUGAGCUGAGUGAGAGUGCGUGAGGAGAGAGCGCAGCCGGCCUUCGCCCCCAGGUCCAACUCAGUCAUAGCACUGUUUCUGCUCCUGAGGGCCGACACGUGCCGAGUCUUAGUUAUGUAAUUUCUCAAAUGAUGGGCACGGAUGAGAGAGAGGCUGUGUUGAGGAAAUAUCAAUCGCCUGGCACCUGAUGACAAAAAAAAGGCUGUCACAUCUGCUCAAAGCGUACUGAUGAUCCUGAUCCUAUGAGCUUCAGCACAGUCCUGGCACCUAUCCACAGGUGUACAUGGGUAUGUGCUGUCUGCACACGCAUCUCUGUGAUGCUCUUUGAUGUGUGAGCCCAUCAGAUGAGGCUGCAAUAAAAACAUGACAUCACCACGCCCCGCCAUGCCAUCUGCCGAGACGCACUUCAUAUGUUUGCCGGAUCAUAAUGAACACAGGGGUCACCACACAGCAGAGCUGGCAGGAGACGAGUUGCAUAACAGCAUCAUUUCUGGGGCAAAAUGAUGCCCGACUGUGAGCGCAUGCAGGAUGACGUUCGUUUGGAGCAGCGAUCUGACCCCAAAGCCUGAAAUCUUUGAUCCCCACUAAGGAGGUCUCGUCUGGGCCUCCCAAAUCAGAUCAACCCAGGGGCUUACUGACUUCAAGCUCAAUGCUGAAUAAUGCUGAGAUGAGAUACACACUGCAUGGCGACACACGCAUACACAGAUAGUGUACACACACAGCAAUAUCCACCUGCCUCUCUCCUGUCAGACUAUGUACUAUGCUAUGAUGAGACACAAAGCUGCUUUGCUUCUCUGGGUCAGCAGGUAAUCAGGAGAUGGGGUGAUGUUGAGGCCGGCACUACACACACACACACACACACACACACACACACACACACACAUCUCAUCUUGCCUCUGAAAUGCACUGCAAAACGAAAGUGCAUCCAUUUAAGUCAUUACUGAGCAGGCUGAUGAUCACACACUGUAUCACAUUUCACAUCAGUCAAAAAGGCAACAUUAAGGUUACAGCAAUGACAGCAGGCCUGUUUUGAAGUGAUUCUUUGCACAAAAAAGAAAAAUGUAACAAAAUCAAUCACUGUCCUUUUUGCUUUGGUUGAAUUUUUCAGACAAAGGAGUGAACACGGGGGCUGGAGCCUGUUCCACUGUUGUCCCGGUGGUCGUACCACGGCUCCUCUUCCUCCGUGACAAACUCCUCCAUCCUGCCUGCGCGAAGCAUCGAUGCUGAUGAACUUCUUUCUCCACCUGCGAUGUGAUCUGCUAAUUCGCCGACUGCUCGCCCGGAAGUGACAACAAACAACAGCAGCAGAGGCGCUGCUGCCUCCUCCUCCUCCUCCUCCUCCUCCCCAAGUGUGUAACCCUUUGAGGAUCACAUCUGCAGUUUCUGAUUCGACAGGACUGUUCUCUACAGCUUCCACUGUCACAGACGACUCUACAGAUCCUCCCAAGCUGUCAUUGUAAAACCCACCACCCUGUGACCCUCUGUUUGAAACUGUGUCUAACGUGGAGGACUUCAGCAGAUCCUUGGCAGUCUGGAUGGGGUUGGAUGAGCCCCUCUGG